This is a non-coding RNA of Acanthosepion pharaonis, 109 nucleotides long. NCBI's taxonomy places the organism in Eukaryota, Metazoa, Mollusca, Cephalopoda, Sepiida, Sepiidae. The record is from the annotation of a GenBank genome assembly.
GGCCACAUCACGUUGAAAAACCGGUUCCCCUACGAUCAACGAAGUUAAGCAACAUUGGGCCUGUUCAGUAUCUAGAUGGGUGACCGCUUGAAAGUAACAGAUGCUGUAA